Long non-coding RNA from Culex quinquefasciatus (southern house mosquito), 429 nucleotides. RefSeq lists it as uncharacterized. The transcript has 3 exons. Lineage: Eukaryota; Metazoa; Arthropoda; Insecta; Diptera; Culicidae. The record is from RefSeq and is a predicted model, not a curated record.
CCCUCGUUUGCGUCAGGUCGGACGUCGGAGAGAAACGUCAAAAAUCAUCAAAAUAAACAAAUCGGAUUUUGGUGGCUGGUGAGUAAAAGUUGCAGGUGCUUGGAGUUUUUAUGCUGGUUUGCCGGAGUUUUUCUACAGGCACGGAAGAUUGUGGAAUUUCGGAAAUUGUGGAAGGUCGUUUGAUGUCAUAGCCGCUCUUUUCUAGAACUGCAUAAGGUGCGGAGCUGGUACGUUUAAGAGGAGAUCAUUCACUAGAGGUACCGACGGGUCACCUUGGCCUCGGAGUAACCGUUGUUGGCCUUCAGGAGCUCCUCAUUAAACGUUUUCUGGUCCACAUUGCGCUUCUCCGCCUUCUCGACGAUGCUGUCCUUCUCGGAGCGGGAGUAUGCUAUCAAGUCUCGUCGCACGGGACAGUUGUCGAGGGACAGA